This 90-nucleotide ribosomal RNA is filed under the name Staphylococcus epidermidis. The record is from RNAcentral. Lineage: Bacteria; Bacillati; Bacillota; Bacilli; Caryophanales; Staphylococcaceae.
AAGGAGGUCACACCUGUUCCCAUGCCGAACACAGAAGUUAAGCUCCUUAGCGCCGAUGGUAGUCGGACUGACGUUCCGCUAGAGUAGGAC